AGCAGCAGCAGCAGCAGCAACGCGGGGCUAGGAGUCAUUUCUGCCUGUCCGGACCUGGGGGUAAUCGGGAACGGUCACUGAGCGCUGAAGCGGGGCAUUCCCCACCACCCGAACCACCAGAGCUGACUCGACACCCCCAGCCUCUGACCAGCCCGGUCUCCAGCCUGCGCAGUCUUCCUGGGUGUCGAAGAAGGGGCCAACUGGACAGCGGUGGGACACUUACCACCUUCAAGGGAGGCACCUUGCUGUCCCCCAGUACAGAGGAAAUGAAGGCACAGAGAAGACAGGUAACUUACCCUCAAUCUCUCAACCAGAACUUGGCACGCUGCAGCAUUCAAACCCUCACCGCGUCCUGGCUUUUCCUGCACACCACCCAGCUUGCCUUCCCUGCCCAGCACCAGCAUGUACUGGCCUUCCCACGUCCAUCCACCUGGCGCUCUCUGAUCACCCCCUGCAUUUUCUCUGGCCCGAGCUGCUGCACCAGCCUGCCAUGGCAUCCUCUCCACUGUCACUUGAGCAGAACCGAGAAUCAUCAUGCCUGUGUCCCAGCGCCCUCAACACCUGGGGCCAACCCACCUCCCAUGGCUCAUGCCCCUCAACUACGGUCAAAUUACACCACCCCAACACCACCUCCAGAACCUGCUCUAGUCCAUAGUGACCUUUGCCCAAGCUCUUCCCUCAGGAACCCUGCCUGGAACAGCCACUCUUCCAUCAAGACUAGAAGCUCCCUCUUCCUGGAAGCUUUCCAGAGAUCGAAACUGGAGACCCCUGGAGGCCAGUGAUCCCAGGGCGGUGGAAAGUUGGGUAAGGUGUGCCAGCUGUCAGGUCUGGGGCCCACUGAGUCUAAAGCUGCCCACCCCUCUCAAGUUGGUGGGGCCAAUGAAAAGGCAAGUACCCAGUCCAGCAUCCCCAGGUUCUGUCUCUGGAUCAGUGUGGGCACCUUGUGGGUGGAUGGAGGUAAGCCUAGCCAACCUCUGUCUGACCCUUGUUGGCCCAUUGUGUCAGCCCUGCACCCUGGGUACAGGUCCAGGGGACCCCUAAAAGUCAGGUGGCCGUCCCUGAAGCAGCCAGGAGAGCCAGCCUCAGGGCCCCCCUGAGGACUGCCAGGCUAUGGGAGGUUAGGAACAGGGGCUCCAGAACAAAGUGGGCAGGUGGGUAGAGAGGUCCCAAGCGCCAGACUUCACAGACGGGUUUGUGAGGAGACAUCAUCGAAGCGUGAAGAGUUCCAGCAGGUGUGUAGGCUGCUAAGCACAGGUGUGUGCAAAGGUGGCUCUGAAGUGUGGGAGGGCAGAAGCAGGAAGAGGGUCCACAACUAGGCUGUGAAGUGCGAGGUGCGGAGACAAAGUAAGGUGAGAAUGAGGAUAGGUCACGAGCAGGUGAGUUGGCCCGAGGACAGUGAGGAGGCUUGGCCGAAACCGUAGGUGUAUGAGGGGGACGCCAGCGCGGUCAGCUCUCUGAGCGACAUGGCCUCGCGGGCGCGGGGACGCGCUGCCCCCUGGCGGUGGUACGGGGCCAUGGCGGCUUCUGAGAGCCUGGCCCCGGCCCCGCCCUGUCCCGCCACGUCCGAGCCCGCGGGCCUUCCCUACCUCCAGCCCAGGCCCCUUCCACCGGAAGCCCUCCCGCCAGCUGCUCGCCCACCCCCGGAAUCAGGGAAGCACGCCCCUCCCCGGUGCCCGCUGGACUUAAAUGGCUGGAUGCAAGUUCUGCACCGUUAAAAAAGAAACAGCAGUUAGCUAGCUUCUGGAUCUGAGUACCCUCAUUUGCAAUCCAGUCUCAAAGGAUGAGGACUACGUUCCACCUGCCCAGCACAGUCUCUGAGAUACGGAAAGCAUUGGAUGGGAGUAAUGGAACAUUGCAAAAGAAAGGAGCGAACUCGAAGACGUAGCAAUAGAAACUACGUGAAACAGAAAUGACUGGAAACAAAGCAUCAGGGAAAUGCGGUACACCUGCAAGCGGUGACACACAAGAGUCAUUGGAGGGCCUACAGAGAGGAGCUAGAGAUGGGACAAGGAGAACUAUUCUAAAAUUGGACCAACAUUUUCUAAAUGUGGUGACAACAUGAACCUACAGCUUCAAAAAGCUCAACAAAUUAAGCACAAGAACUGGAAGAAGGAGCCAGGUGGUGGCACAGUGACAAUACACAAUGCUCUGUGAAGCUGAGCACCUGGGAAGGUUCCUAGAUUGUGUCCAGAGGCCUUCCUGAGUAAGCCAGCACAGGCACACAUGUGCCCAUGAUCUGAGGCUGACUGCAUCUGAGAGUGGGUUGGGAGAAGACCCUGAUGGGGGUAGUCUCUCUCUGUCUCUCACUCAUGGAAGAAACAAACAACCUUUAAAAAAAAAAGAAACAAGAAGAAAAUUACAACAAAGCACAUCAUUAUCAAAAUGCUGAAAACCGGGAACCAGCAGUUGGCGUAAUAGCUAUGUCGCUGGACUCCCACGUA
This is a long non-coding RNA of Tupaia belangeri chinensis (Chinese tree shrew), 2441 nucleotides long. RefSeq lists it as uncharacterized. NCBI's taxonomy places the organism in Eukaryota, Metazoa, Chordata, Mammalia, Scandentia, Tupaiidae. The transcript is spliced from 4 exons. The record is from RefSeq and is a predicted model, not a curated record.